UCUAUGGACUGUAGCCCACCAGGCUCCUCUGUCCAUAGGAUUCUCCAGGCAAGAAUACUGGAGUGGGUUGCCGUGCCCUCCUCCAGGGGAUCUUCCAAACCCAGGUAGAAACCCAUCUUCAUCCCUGAUUCCUGGUAUAAACACAAGGGCAGCCAAAGAAACAAAAUGUUCUCUGUGCCACUGCCAGAUUCCAGUGUGUUAAACAGGAAUACAGAGCGAAGACAUGGUGCGGCACAGGGACCUGCCUCCUCCAACCACUGUUCAACCUUGGGGGCCCAGUAGCCUUGGCUUUGGCUUGGAAGCUUAGAGCUCAGCCUGAAGAAAUGGCCCAUAAAAAGCCCCAUUCCUGGCACUUAUCCAGAUAUUCCCCAGGAGAUGUGUUCAAACAAGAAUCUUCUCUCUGCUCCCCUACCUCCCAUGACUCUGCUUGUAGGAUGAGUCCAGUCUCAGGAAAGGACAAGCCAGAGAUCUGGGCUCAGGAUCUGUUCUGCCAUUAAUGGAGUGAGCCAUAUGGACUUUUGUAUCUCGAGUCUGUGUUGGUAAAAUGAAGGGUUUGGGCUGGUCAGAAUGGAUUCCGUUCAACCCCAGAUGCUUCAUGAAGCAGCUACUACUUGAUCUUGUGUCUGGGGUUUCUCUGUUACAGUCACAGAACACUGUGGCUAGCUCUGGGAAUGUUGCAUGCGAGCCUAUCUCAGAAGAGUCACAUGGAAAAGGAAUUAGGACGGCACAGGUCAAAUUCCAGCUUGUUGAGUCGUGUGAGAUAAAUGUGGGGAAGCCCAGUGGAGAGCAGGGGCCCCAAGCCUCUCUAGAGACAGCACACACUUUCUCCCCAGGGGGUUGCAGGCUCAGCAGACCUCAGUUGCCUCCAGCUCCAUCCCAUCAAGUCUCAACUGCAAGGAACCAAUGCACUAUGAAUGUGAAAGGUGAAGACAGGAGUGAGGAAGACACCUAGGCAAACUUACCUGCAGGCAGACAAGACCCUCUCACAGUGGGAUUAAAGGAGCAUGCGAUGGUGCCUGGCCCCUGGGUUGUAUCUGCUGAUACUUACAAUCAGUCACCGACACCUUUUGGAGAAGGGUCUGAUGUAAGGAGAGAGCUCAUUGGAAGAUGGCAAAUUCACGUGCAUCUGAGAUGAGAGAGUGGGUAAGGACCCUUGCUGGCUGGCUGCUGCAUGUUCUUUAAGAAAUGGCCAGCUGCUCCCUAGCAGAGUCUUGGAAUAUAAGAGCCCCUGGCUUUACAUGAUCCCAAACAGAGAACAAGAGACACCAAGGGAACAUGGCCAGUGUCGGGGUGGCAGUAUCCUUGUCCACCAUGGUGGGAGUAACUGGGCACCAACCCCAUCAUUCAGAAGAGCCCAACCUAAGAAUCCAGGGACUUGGGUUCUAGACUUGGAAUUUUCCAUGUUAAGAUUAGAAGGCAGACAGCAUCAUCUCUAACACCUUGCCCAGCUUGAAGGGCCGAUGGUUACUUUAGAUUAGGCAAAUAUUUCUCCUGAGUGAUGGAAAACAUGUAAGAGACAUGGUAGCAUGAGUGUCUGGGCUGUGAGAAAAAUGGGGAGAAAAAAGGAACUGAAGUCAUGUAGGGUGGGUGAGACUGUCCACAGGCGAUCCACACAAUUUCUUGAAAUGAUUUCAAGAAAAAUCUGUUGCCUCCAUGCCUUAUCCUUCUGAUAUAGUAGUUCACAUUCUACUCCAUCUUAGAUCCUCUGAAUGGCUUUAACAGUAGAAUAAUUUAAAAUUUAUCAUUUUAUCA
Long non-coding RNA from Bos taurus (domestic cattle), 1752 nucleotides. The record is from Ensembl. NCBI's taxonomy places the organism in Eukaryota, Metazoa, Chordata, Mammalia, Artiodactyla, Bovidae.